This 216-nucleotide long non-coding RNA is filed under the name Vigna radiata. Its description in RNAcentral is "long non-coding RNA (VRAD_LNC001716)". The record is from RNAcentral. Lineage: Eukaryota; Viridiplantae; Streptophyta; Magnoliopsida; Fabales; Fabaceae.
GAUUUGUUCCAUUUGGAUACCAUAGUCCAAGGUUCUUAGUACCUUUGAGAUAUUUUAAAAUUCUUUUAACAGCAGUAAGAUGUGAUUCUUUAGGAGCAGAUUGAAAUCUAGCACAUCUUCCUUUAUAUAACCAUUCAGAAAGGCGCUCUUAACAUCCAUUUGAUAUAGCUUGAAUUUCAUUGUGCAUGCAAUGGCUAAAAGUAUUCUGAUUGCCUC